UGGGGCACUGAAGAUGAUGAGACCCAGAGUUACCACAAUGGCAAUUCAGACCCUCGAGGAUUCGGUCAUAUUGGAAUUGCUGUUCCUGAUGUAUACAGUGCUUGUAAAAGGUUUGAAGAACUGGGAGUCAAAUUUGUGAAGAAACCUGAUGAUGGUAAAAUGAAAGGCCUGGCAUUUAUUCAAGAUCCUGAUGGCUACUGGAUUGAA
This 207-nucleotide unclassified non-coding RNA is filed under the name Hevea brasiliensis (rubber tree). Lineage: Eukaryota; Viridiplantae; Streptophyta; Magnoliopsida; Malpighiales; Euphorbiaceae. The record is from RNAcentral.